Small nucleolar RNA from Acomys russatus (golden spiny mouse), 131 nucleotides. RefSeq annotates it as small nucleolar RNA SNORA17. The record is from RefSeq and is a predicted model, not a curated record. Lineage: Eukaryota; Metazoa; Chordata; Mammalia; Rodentia; Muridae. The transcript has a single exon.
CCUGCCCCUAGAGGUACUGCAGCUGUGGCAGCUGUGUCACAUGAGCAUCAGCAGGUGGCAGAGAGGAGAGAGGCUACCUUACUCUCAGUGUUCCGACCUGCGAACGUCUGAAUGGCAAGUAGAAUAACAAU